AUACCUUUCUCGGCCUUUUGGCUAAGAUCAAGUGUAGUAUCUGUUCUUAUCAGUUUAAUAUCUGAUACGUGGGUCAUCGAUCCACUAUGAUAUUAAAUUAAUUUAUUGUGGGAGAAGGUCCACCGCGGUAGCUUGCUGCCGGGGCCCUCGCGCGUCGCCCGUGCGUUGCACUACAGCACGGGCCCGGCGCACCCUAU
RNAcentral lists this small nuclear RNA (197 nucleotides) under Musa acuminata subsp. malaccensis (wild Malaysian banana). RNAcentral's name for it is "U2 spliceosomal RNA". It matches the Rfam family "U2 spliceosomal RNA". From Rfam's summary of the family: U2 is a small nuclear RNA (snRNA) component of the spliceosome (involved in pre-mRNA splicing). The record is from Rfam by way of RNAcentral. Lineage: Eukaryota; Viridiplantae; Streptophyta; Magnoliopsida; Zingiberales; Musaceae.